AGAUUGAACGCUGGCGGCAGGCCUAACACAUGCAAGUCGAGCGGUAGAGAGGUGCUUGCAUCUCUUGAGAGCGGCGGACGGGUGAGUAAUGCCUAGGAAUCUGCCUAGUGGUGGGGGAUAACGUUCGGAAACGGACGCUAAUACCGCAUACGUCCUACGGGAGAAAGCGGGGGACCUUCGGGCCUCGCGCCAUUAGAUGAGCCUAGGUCGGAUUAGCUAGUUGGUGAGGUAAUGGCUCACCAAGGCGACGAUCCGUAACUGGUCUGAGAGGAUGAUCAGUCACACUGGAACUGAGACACGGUCCAGACUCCUACGGGAGCAGCAGUGGGGAAUAUUGGACAAGUGGGCGAAAGCCUGAUCCAGCCAUGCCGCGUGUGUG
Molecule: ribosomal RNA, 379 nt
Filed under: uncultured soil bacterium
Lineage: Bacteria
Description: bacterial SSU rRNA
Rfam family: Bacterial small subunit ribosomal RNA
Source: RNAcentral